GUUAUAUGGUCAAGCGAUUAAGCGCACACGGUGGAUGCCUUGGCAGCCAGAGGCGAUGAAGGACGUUGUAGCCUGCGAUAAGGUUCGGUGAGGUGGCAA
This 99-nucleotide ribosomal RNA is filed under the name Salinicola sp. MH3R3-1. RNAcentral describes it as "partial 23S ribosomal RNA". It matches the Rfam family "Bacterial large subunit ribosomal RNA", at positions 1 to 92 of the family's 2925-position model. The record is from RNAcentral. Lineage: Bacteria; Pseudomonadati; Pseudomonadota; Gammaproteobacteria; Oceanospirillales; Halomonadaceae.